Long non-coding RNA from Hydra vulgaris (swiftwater hydra), 564 nucleotides. RefSeq lists it as uncharacterized. The record is from RefSeq and is a predicted model, not a curated record. Lineage: Eukaryota; Metazoa; Cnidaria; Hydrozoa; Anthoathecata; Hydridae.
UGGCUUAUUAGUGAAUAAAAAGCUCUUUGAAUCUUCUUUCUCUAAACUCAAUAGAUUUUUCCAUACUAGUAGAAAAAAAAAAAUCAGGCAGAGGAUGGUUGUCAACAGAUUUGUUUUCAUAAAAGUACUUCUUGAUAAGAAUUUCAAAAUUUAUCUUGGUUUGGACUUGCUUUAUUGCACUUUGACUGAACACACCAUAAAAUUUAAGAACUAGCUCUAACAUUUUCUAACUAGUUCUAACGGAACAAGAACUAAAGAUAAAAGCUGCAGUUCCGCUGGAUGGAUCUACUUUACAAGCUUUUGAACACCAGAAGUUCAGCUCAGAUUGUCGAUAUUAAACUAAUUGCAAAACGACCACGGAAAAUUACAGCUGCUCUAAAGCCGUAGCUUUAGCUUCAACCAGAAUAUUGACCAAUGAUAAGUAAAUGAGUUGUUUUGGCAAUAAAACAAAAUUUUUUGCAAAGUGACUGAUGAUAGCAAAAUUGGAUUGAACCUGGAUACGCAGUUUUUCAUAUAAAAUAUGGAUGUAAAGUAACAUUAAUAGAAAUAAGAUCGCAUUCAUUA